ACCCUUUAAUGUUUGAUGUUCUAACGUGGACCCGUGAUCCGGGUUGCGGACAGUGUCUGGUGGGUAGUUUGACUGGGGCGGUCUCCUCCUAAAGAGUAACGGAGGAGCACGAAGGUUGGCUAAUCCUGGUCGGACAUCAGGAGGUUAGUGCAAUGGCAUAAGCCAGCUUGACUGCGAGCGUGACGGCGCGAGCAGGUGCGAAAGCAGGUCAUAGUGAUCCGGUGGUUCUGAAUGGAAGGGCCAUCGCUCAACGGAUAAAAGGUACUCCGGGGAUAACAGGCUGAUACCGCCCAAGAGUUCAUAUCGACGGCGGUGUUUGGCACCUCGAUGUCGGCUCAUCACAUCCUGGGGCUGAAGUAGGUCCCAAGGGUAUGGCUGUUCGCCAUUUAAAGUGGUACGCGAGCUGGGUUUAGAACGUCGUGAGACAGUUCGGUCCCUAUCUGCCGUGGGCGCUGGAGAACUGAGGGGGGCUGCUCCUAGUACGAGAGGACCGGAGUGGACGCAUCACUGGUGUUCGGGUUGUCAUGCCAAUGGCACUGCCCGGUAGCUAAAUGCGGAAGAGAUAAGUGCUGAAAGCAUCUAAGCACGAAACUUGCCCCGAGAUGAGUUCUCCCUGAGACUUAAAGUCUCCUGAAGGAACGUUGAAGACGACGACGUUGAUAGG
RNAcentral lists this ribosomal RNA (664 nucleotides) under Salmonella enterica. RNAcentral's name for it is "partial 23S ribosomal RNA". It matches the Rfam family "Bacterial large subunit ribosomal RNA", at positions 2202 to 2860 of the family's 2925-position model. The record is from RNAcentral. Lineage: Bacteria; Pseudomonadati; Pseudomonadota; Gammaproteobacteria; Enterobacterales; Enterobacteriaceae.